UUAAAGCGGUACGCGAGCUGGGUUCAGAACGUCGUGAGACAGUUCGGUCCCUAUCCGUCGUGGGCGUAGGAAAUUUGAGAGGAGCUGUCCUUAGUACGAGAGGACCGGGAUGGACAUACCUCUGGUGUACCAGUUGUCGUGCCAACGGCAUAGCUGGGUAGCUAUGUAUGGACGGGAUAAGUGCUGAAAGCAUCUAAGCAUGAAGCCCCCCUCAAGAUGAGAUUUCCCAACUUCGGUUAUAAGAUCCCUCGAAGAUGACGAGGUUAAUAGGUUCGAGGUGGAAGCGUGGUGACACGUGGAGCUGACGAAUACUAAUCGAUCGAAGACUUAAUCAA
Molecule: ribosomal RNA, 335 nt
Filed under: Staphylococcus epidermidis NIHLM088
Lineage: Bacteria; Bacillati; Bacillota; Bacilli; Caryophanales; Staphylococcaceae
Also listed under: 1 other name
Description: bacterial LSU rRNA
Rfam family: Bacterial large subunit ribosomal RNA
Source: RNAcentral